Molecule: long non-coding RNA, 1211 nt
Organism: Drosophila nasuta
Lineage: Eukaryota; Metazoa; Arthropoda; Insecta; Diptera; Drosophilidae
Exons: 3
Source: RefSeq, a predicted model, not a curated record
AUGAGUAAUUUAACCAGAGUAACGAAAUAAUAAUAUUCCAUUUUGUAGCACAUUGAUAAUGUUGAUGUUCUCAACAUUUCAAACCGUUAUGUAAGCCGAAAUUGAAGAAGUUAAAACGCACAAGUAUACGCUUGAAAUGCGUUCAAUAUCCAUUGGUCGUAGGAUGGUCAACAAUGCCAUUGACUUGAACUUUUCGUCGGAUGGAGCUUGGUGUUGUCCUUGUUGGUGACUCUAGGUGCCGUUACCAUGCCAACCAGGACCAGACAGGGUUCAGUUUUCAGUUUGCAAUGGGCACGCCUCACAAAUGUUUCCCUCAAACAUGACGACCGCAAAGCAACAUAAAAAAAGGAUGGCAAUUGAAACAUGAGCCUAUUACUUUAAUUAGAUGUUAGAAUGGUUUCCAUUCAUGAUUAUUCUGUUAUUUACAUUAGCUCCAUGACACCCCCAUACUGACGUAUACUUAUUUUAAGAAAAUAAGGCGACCCCAGAUGUGAUUAUCUAGUAGUGUUAGUUAUCAGAAUCUGAAUUCAUUGGUCGUUCGUGAAGAACCCAUACUAAGGCAUUAUAUUUUCGCAUAUUACUAUGGCCCGAUUAAAUAUCAAUAACCCAAUAGGAAGCCGUAUGGUAUCUGAUUACACUGUCACUCCUCAUGUCACGUAGUCUGUGAACGACUAAGACAUAUUACACUAGGCCACAAACGCAUCGGCUGUAUGUAUGUAUAUAAAAAAAUGAGGUAUGGCGGAAAGACAGGAUGUGCAGCCUACAUGUCAAAUACACCAAAUGCUGGAUAGAUGUCUGGCCUGAAAACUAAGCAAACAAAAUCAAAAGACAACGGGCAACUGAACUGACUCUUAAUCUUGAAUGUGUAUAUCAUUUGGAUUGAUUGCAGGAAUAGACAAGCCGUGAAGUGUUUUUGUUUGCUUGUGGCCGUUUGCUAUGAUGUUUCCCUUUAAGAAAGAGAAUAUGUAUUAUGUAUGUGUAUUUUAUGUGUGGAUAUGUGAAUCUGUGAACCGGAUAAGUUUUGUUUGCCAAGAGGACAUCCGAACAAGCGUCGCCGUCAGACGCCAAUGACGCCGUCGAUGUCACACUUGGAUUGUUGACACGAGCAGUAGCGUAAAUGAGUUAUGAAUUUCGUAGUCACGGAUUUCCAACCCUUUCCAUAGCUGAUACGUUUUUAUAGUAAUUUAAAAUAAUUUGUGUUUUGAAUAAAC